Molecule: ribosomal RNA, 253 nt
Filed under: uncultured bacterium
Lineage: Bacteria
Description: partial 16S ribosomal RNA
Rfam family: Bacterial small subunit ribosomal RNA
Source: RNAcentral
UACGUAGGUGGCAAGCGUUGUCCGGAAUUAUUGGGCGUAAAGCGCGCGCAGGCGGUCCUUUAAGUCUGAUGUGAAAGCCCACGGCUUAACCGUGGAGGGUCAUUGGAAACUGGGGGACUUGAGUACAGAAGAGAAGAGUGGAAUUCCACGUGUAGCGGUGAAAUGCGUAGAGAUGUGGAGGAACACCAGUGGCGAAGGCGGGUCUCUGGGCCGAUACUGACGCUGAGGAGCGAAAGCGUGGGGAGCAAACAGG